CUUGCGGCUGCCCGGCGCCAGCUGUCUCUUUAAGAGAAGCGGAGCUCGCUGGCAAUUACGCAGCGGCAUGUGAGCGCAGCGGCUCAGCCUCCCUACCUCCCGCCCCGCCACAGCGCUGGGCGAAGCCGCGGCUCCAGCACCGGCCGGACCCGGCAUGGAGACUGAGGCAGGUCGCUGAGCGAGCCGGCGCCGGCUGCAGUGCCGCAGUGGGGAGGACCCGGCGGGCCCCGCUGAGCGAACUCAGCCCUUGGGUCGGCCCUAUGACUGCACACCGCCUUCCUGGCUGCUGCUCAGGGUGCAUUAAGCUGGAGUGCCAAUUAUCGCCAUUGCUAUGUCCCUGCCGGGAAGCAGACGGCCCUCCACCGGAUCUCGAAGGUGAGUACAUCUAGCCUCUUGUCCCUUCACAGACGAACCUGGAAUCUGCCCAGCACCUUUACUGUUAAAAGAGACAAACCAGGGACCAUUUUUCCUCUCCUCCCAAGUGCAUUAACGCAGCGAUUGCGCAGGAGUAGACCCAAGAGCGUUCAUUUAAAAAGGGUGGCUUGGAAGAUCCUUUUGGGGCUGUCCCCGCAGAGCUGUGAACAAACCAGGCUUGCACGUCUAGCCACUCUUCUGCACCACACUUGCACAACUGCUCCCACUCAUGCGAGCACACUUGCACUCAUGUCUCUCCACUGCUGUGAGCGAAGUCUGGCCCGUCUCUUCACUUCCGGUUCGCCAAGGGCAGGCGUUGAUGGAGCAACCUUUUCCUCAGCCGCUGGCGUGGCGGCUGUGAAUCUCUGAGAGGUCUGCCCCUAGAAGAGGUCUUCCCUAAGCUGCCAAGCUCUGUGUCCAGUCAGAGGAGUGGGGAGAAAUGUUCAUCGUUCCCACCCCCAGGAUGGGGGAGCCAUACAUCCAGAGUGGCCAGGCCAUGCCGUCGAACAAGAGAAACCAGAGGUGGCCCAUCAGACAGACGUGUUGGGAGCAGGGGGGUUAGUGUAGCUAUAAGUAAAAUGCAGUGAAAAGUGAACUGAAUUCCAGCAGGCUCGGGGAAGGGUUGGUCGCGGUAGCAGUGUGGAAAGGGGGUAGGGGUGGGAGAGGAGAGUGCUGAGUGGCUCCGCAUCAAGACACACGAUUGCUGUCAUUGGGUGCAAGACCCUGGCCAUAGGACGGGUGGAUUGUGCCCUUUGCCCAGCUCCUGUUGGCUGGGAACCCUUUGUGGGGCUGCUCAAGAGGUGUAAGAGCUCUUUGCUGCAAUGGGGCUGUAGGAGGGGGGCGAUGGGGCACAGCCUUCCCGGGAGACUAGAGGGCACCCCGUAGAGUUUGCAACUCAGCCCUCCCUUGAGCUACUGUCCCGAUAACCCUGCCAAGACAGCCUGGCUCUGUUCCAUCUUGAUCCCUGCUGUUUUGUUUUGUCCUUUUGUCUUUGUGUCUUUGGUGGUUUGGAAGCCGUGGCUUUUAUGGAAGGAGUGGCUUGGCCUCGUUCUUUAAGCCUUCAGCACCCCCUGCCACUCAGACUGAGAAACAGCCUCUUCUUCCUGCCUCCAGGC
RNAcentral lists this long non-coding RNA (1529 nucleotides) under Pelusios castaneus (West African mud turtle). RNAcentral's name for it is "lncRNA (ENSPCEG00000000590.1)". The record is from RNAcentral. Lineage: Eukaryota; Metazoa; Chordata; Testudines; Pelomedusidae.